This 2522-nucleotide long non-coding RNA is filed under the name Olea europaea (common olive). RNAcentral describes it as "long non-coding RNA (OEUR_LNC002516)". Lineage: Eukaryota; Viridiplantae; Streptophyta; Magnoliopsida; Lamiales; Oleaceae. The record is from RNAcentral.
CAGGAUAUUGCUUAAUAGUUUGGAUAGUUUUGUCUCAAUGUAAAAAUUGUUAGAGUUGGUGUACUGGACUUGAUCAUAUUUUGUAUACAGAAAACCAUUUCUUUUGAGAAAUGACAAUAGAAUGGAUGAUUAGACUUGUCUUUUGAAUUUCAUGAUUUUGUCUCAUAUACUAUGAGCACCCUGAACAAUUUUUUUAUAACCUCGAAAUUUAAAGGGAAAGUAAGUCUUGAUGCUGCCUUUUCUUCUAAUCUGGAAUAUUAUGCCAGUCAUCUGAUCUGUGAGUCUGUGACAAUUGAUAACCACCCUCGUCUUUUAGACUACUUGACUGAUACAAAUAUCUCGGUGGAAAGAGAAGUCAUGAACAACAAUGAUAAGAUAUUUUCCAUCAUCAUUUUCAUAUUUUCCUAUCUGUAAAUUUUUCUUCGGAUGUAGGAGUUAAAAUAAAUUGCUAUCUCAAGUUGAUUUACCAAUUCUUUUGCACAGAUGUUGUUGGAUCAGCAAUUGGCUUCCUGGUGUUCGCCCUGAUCCUCUCUUCAUGGUCUGUUACCUUUAUGAUUGGCGGGAACCAACUUUUCGGCCCAGUGUGGGAUAAAUUGGUUAUGUACAAUGUUGCCGAUAGAUAUGGUUUAACUGAAUUGAUGUAGAUCUACAUGUUAGUGGUUUCAGUUCCAUAAUCGACAUGAAUAUGGUAUGUCUUUUCUUUUGCUGAUAUGAAUGUUCAAGUUACUGCAUUGUACUUCACGACAAUGUUAAUUGACUGAUGUUGUACUCCUUGGAGGAGUAAAUUCAUGAGCUAAAGAACCUUUAGCUGUCUAGAAAAGGGUGGCCAGAUCCUGUUUUGUUUUGAAAACAGAGAAUUCGAUCGGAACAUAAAUUUAUUUGUUAUGUGUAGCCAACAUGCUUCUUACAUCAACGAUACGCAAUCAACAACCGAAAACAAAAUACCUAGGAAGACCUAUUGCUUUUAAGAGUGUGAUCGGUUGAGAGAUUUUUUCUUGAUUUAGUUCAGCUUGAGACAUGAUAGGUUUUAAAAAAAUUCUAAUCAUUUGGUAUUUACUCUGCUCAUAAAAUCAACUUUAUCUACCACUCAAACAUUGCUAUUGAAUGUGAAGAUAAUUGUAAGCAAGGCCAAUUCAUAUUGAAGGGAUAGAUACUUUUGUGGGUUUAGAUACUCGUACAUAAAACAAGAUCGUCGUGAAUGCGGAGGGAAAAAUCUAAAAGAUUUUUUUAACAGUCACAGAAUAAUUAGGACAAUUGACCUGCUCUUUGUAGCCUCUCUCUGGUGUGACCACCACAGGGUAAAGGCAUGCUUUUGCCAUAAUUUGUAAACUACAGGAAUGGACAUUCUAAUCUAUUCCUGUGUACUUUUUACUGACAUAUUCAUUAAUACUCCUUUUUUAUUUGCUCGAGUUAUGCACAGUCCAGGAUAUUGCUUAAUAGUUUGGAUAGUUUUGUCUCAAUGUAAAAAUUGUCAGAGUUGGUGUACUGGACUUGAUCAUAUUUUGUAUACAGAAAAACCAUUUCUUUUGAGAAAUGACAAUAGAAUGGAUGAUUAGACUUGUCUUUUGAAUUUCAUGAUUUUGUCUCAUAUACUAUGAGCACCCUGAACAAUUUUUUUAUAACCUCGAAAUUUAAAGGGAAAGUAAGUCUUGAUGCUGCCUUUUCUUCUAAUCUGGAAUAUUAUGCCAGUCAUCUGAUCUGUGAGUCUGUGACAAUUGAUAACCACCCUCGUCUUUUAGACUACUUGACUGAUACAAAUAUCUCGGUGGAAAGAGAAGUCAUGAGCAACAAUGAUAAGAUAUUUUCCAUCAUCAUUUUCAUAUUUUCGUAUCUGUAAAUUUUUCUCUGGAUGUAGGAGUUAAAAUAAAUUGCUAUCUCAAGUUGAUAUACCAAUUCUUUUGCACAGAUGUUGUUGGAUCAGCAAUUGGCUUCCUGGUGUUCGCCCUGAUCCUCUCUUCAUGGUCUGUUACCUUUAUGAUUGGCGGGAACCAACUUUUCGGCCCAGUGUGGGAUAAAUUGGUUAUGUACAAUGUUGCCGAUAGAUAUGGUUUAACUGAAUUGAUGUAGAUCUACAUGUUAGUGGUUUCAGUUCCAUAAUCGACAUGAAUAUGGUAUGUCUUUGCUUUUGCUGAUAUGAAUGUUCAAGUUACUGCAUUGUACUUCACGACAAUGUUAAUUGACUGAUGUUGUACUCCUUGGAGGAGUAAAUUCAUGAGCUAAAGAACCUUUAGCUGUCUAGAAAAGGGUGGCCAGAUCCUGUUUUGUUUUGAAAACAGAGAAUUCGAUCGGAACAUAAAUUUAUUUGUUAUGUGAUUUUAAUUGGAUCAUCAAGAUUAAUUCAGAACCCAGAAAUUCUAAAUUGUGUAUGGACAUACUCCUUAGGCAAACGCAGACAGGAUAGCCAUUUUCUUUUGUGUUUUAGUAGGUUUUUCUUUUGAAUCAAUAGGAACUAAAGAAAAUCAAUGAAGAACUUUACGUGGGAUUUCCUUACCAUAUGACUGGAUUUUGUCAUGUAUUCGACG